UUUGAUCCUGGCUCAGAUUGAACGCUGGNGGCAUGCCUUACACAUNCAAGUCGAACGGCAGCCGGGGGCAACCCUGGUGGCGAGUGGCGAACGGGUGAGUAAAAUAUUGGAACGUGCCCUAUAGUGGGGGAUAACGUAGCGAAAGUUACGCUAAUACCGCAUACGAUCUAAGGAUGAAAGCGGGGGAUCGCAAGACCUCGCGCUCAUGGAGCGGCCGAUAUCUGAUUAGCUAGUUGGUGGGGUAAAAGCCUACCAAGGCGACGAUCAGUAGCUGGUCUGAGAGGACGACCAGCCACACUGGGACUGAGACACGGCCCACACUCCUACCGGAGGCAGCAGUGGGGAAUUUUGGACAAUGGGCGCAAGCCUGAUCCACCAAUGCCGCGUGAGUGAAGAAGGCCUUCUGGUUGUAAA
Molecule: ribosomal RNA, 414 nt
Filed under: uncultured bacterium
Lineage: Bacteria
Description: bacterial SSU rRNA
Rfam family: Bacterial small subunit ribosomal RNA
Source: RNAcentral